GAUGAACGCUGGCGGCGUGCCUAAUACAUGCAAGUCGAGCGAACAGAUGAGGAGCUUGCUCCUCUGACGUUAGCGGCGGACGGGUGAGUAACACGUGGAUAACCUACCUAUAAGACUGGGAUAACCUCGGGAAACCGGAGCUAAUACCGGAUAAUAUAUUGAACCGCAUGGUUCAAUAGUGAAAGACGGUUUUGCUGUCACUUAUAGAUGGAUCCGCGCCGCAUUAGCUAGUUGGUAAGGUAACGGCUUACCAAGGCAACGAUGCGUAGCCGACCUGAGAGGGUGAUCGGCCACACUGGAACUGAGACACGGUCCAGACUCCUACGGGAGGCAGCAGUAGGGAAUCUUCCGCAAUGGGCGAAAGCCUGACGGAGCAACGCCGCGUGAGUGAUGAAGGUCUUCGGAUCGUAAAACUCUGUUAUUAGGGAGGAACAAAUGUGUAAGUAACUAUGCACGUCUUGACGGUACCUAAUCAGAAAGCCACGGCUAACUACGUG
RNAcentral lists this ribosomal RNA (497 nucleotides) under uncultured bacterium. Its description in RNAcentral is "partial 16S ribosomal RNA". It matches the Rfam family "Bacterial small subunit ribosomal RNA", at positions 28 to 507 of the family's 1533-position model. The record is from RNAcentral.